This 433-nucleotide ribosomal RNA is filed under the name uncultured bacterium. RNAcentral's name for it is "partial 16S ribosomal RNA". It matches the Rfam family "Bacterial small subunit ribosomal RNA", at positions 29 to 507 of the family's 1533-position model. The record is from RNAcentral.
AACGAACGCUGGCGGCAUGCCUAACACAUGCAAGUCGAACGAGACCUUCGGGUCUAGUGGCGCACGGGUGCGUAACGCGUGGGAACCUGCCCUUAGGUUCGGAAUAACUCCCCGAAAGGGGUGCUAAUACCGGAUAAUGUCUUCGGACCAAAGAUUUAUCGCCUUUGGAUGGGCCCGCGUUGGAUUAGCUAGUUGGUAGGGUAAAAGCCUGCCAAGGCGACGAUCCAUAGCUGGUCUGAGAGGAUGAUCAGCCACACUUGGACUGAGACACGGCCCAGACUCCUACGGGAGGCAGCAGUGGGGAAUAUUGGACAAUGGGCGAAAGCCUGAUCAAGCAAUGCCGCGUGAGUGAUGAAGGCCUUAGGGUUGUAAAGCUCUUUUACCCGGGAUGAUAAUGACAGUACCGGGAGAAUAAGCACCGGCUAACUCCGUG